CUCCUACGGGAGGCACAGUGGGGAAUAUUGCACAAUGGGCGCAAGCCUGAUGCAGCGACGCCGCGUGAGGGAUGAGGCCUUCGGGUUGUAAACCUCUUUCAGCAGGGAAGAAGCGAAAGUGACGGUACCUGCAGAAGAAGCGGGCUAACUACGUGCCAGCAGCCGCGGUAAUUAGGGCGCGAGCGUUGUCCGGAAAUUGGGCGUAAAGAGCUCUAGGGGCUUGUCACGUCGGUUGUGAAAGCCCGGGGCUUAACCCCGGGUCUGCAGUCGAUAGGCAGGCUAGAGUUCGGGGGAGAUCGGUGGUGUAGCGGUGAAAUGCGCAGAUAUCAGGAGGAACACCGGUGGCGAAGGCGGAUCUCUGGGCCGAUACUGACGCUGAGGAGCGGCGUGGGGAGCGAACAGGUAGAUACCCUGGUAGUCCACGCCAAACGGCACUAGGUGUGGGCAACAUUCCACGUUGUCCGUGCCUAACGCAUUAAGUGCCCCUGGGGAGUACG
This 497-nucleotide ribosomal RNA is filed under the name Streptomyces akiyoshiensis. RNAcentral's name for it is "bacterial SSU rRNA". It matches the Rfam family "Bacterial small subunit ribosomal RNA", at positions 336 to 884 of the family's 1533-position model. Lineage: Bacteria; Bacillati; Actinomycetota; Actinomycetes; Kitasatosporales; Streptomycetaceae. The record is from RNAcentral.